This 253-nucleotide ribosomal RNA is filed under the name uncultured bacterium. RNAcentral's name for it is "partial 16S ribosomal RNA". It matches the Rfam family "Bacterial small subunit ribosomal RNA", at positions 524 to 776 of the family's 1533-position model. The record is from RNAcentral.
GACAGAGGGUGCUAGCGUUGUUCGGAAUUACUGGGCGUAAAGGGCGCGUAGGCGGUCUGUUAAGUUCGGUGUGAAAUCCCCUGGCUCAACUGGGGAACUGCGCUGGAAACUGGCAGACUCGAGUACCGGAGAGGAGAGUGGAAUUCCCGGUGUAGUGGUGGAAUGCGUAGAUAUCGGGAGGAACACCAGUGGCGAAAGCGGCUCUCUGGGGGCGAUCUGACGCUGAGGCGCGAAAGCGUGGGGAGCAAACCGG